Molecule: long non-coding RNA, 311 nt
Organism: Arabidopsis thaliana (thale cress)
Lineage: Eukaryota; Viridiplantae; Streptophyta; Magnoliopsida; Brassicales; Brassicaceae
Product: other RNA
Exons: 1
Source: RefSeq
ACUCGACGGCCACUGUCUUUUGAUUUUUUUACUUCAGAUUUAUCUUUCCCGCUUUGUCACUGAUAUGGGUUUGGUAUUAAUUCCCAUGUAAAACCGGUUGCAGCGAAUAUGUAUCACAUUAUGGUUAGUAAGGCGGUAAAAAAAUCUCUAUGAGGUUAUGGCAUUAGGCCUGAUUUUCUUACCGCCUUACUAACUCUAACUCUCAGAGCUUAUAGAAAAUAUUUCAUGCUCUUCGAAUCUACAAGCUUCAGCGAUUCGAGAUUCCAAAAUGCUAUAUUAGAUUGAUUCUCCACACUCUCCAUCUCCAUUUC